GACGAACGCUGGCGGCGUGCUUAACACAUGCAAGUCGAACGGAAAGGCCCUGCUUUUGUGGGGUGCUCGAGUGGCGAACGGGUGAGUAACACGUGAGUAACCUGCCCUUGACUUUGGGAUAACUUCAGGAAACUGGGGCUAAUACCGGAUAGGAGCUCCUGCUGCAUGGUGGGGGUUGGAAAGUUUCGGCGGUUGGGGAUGGACUCGCGGCUUAUCAGCUUGUUGGUGGGGUAGUGGCUUACCAAGGCUUUGACUGGUAGCCGGCCUGAGAGGGUGACCGGCCACAUUGGGACUGAGAUACGGCCCAGACUCCUACGGGAGGCAGCAGUGGGGAAUAUUGCACAGUGGGCGGAAGCCUGAUGCAGCAACGCCGCGUGCGGGAUGACGGCCUUCGGGUUGUAAACCGCUUUCGCCUGUGACGAAGCGUGAGUGACGGUAAUGGGUAAAGAAGCACCGGCUAACUACGUG
This 468-nucleotide ribosomal RNA is filed under the name uncultured bacterium. RNAcentral's name for it is "partial 16S ribosomal RNA". It matches the Rfam family "Bacterial small subunit ribosomal RNA", at positions 28 to 507 of the family's 1533-position model. The record is from RNAcentral.